Homo sapiens (human) is the source of this 1219-nucleotide long non-coding RNA. Lineage: Eukaryota; Metazoa; Chordata; Mammalia; Primates; Hominidae. The record is from Ensembl.
ACGUUAUGUGGGUUUCCGCAAGACCUUCCGCCAUUGCCUGGGCUUUGAAAGCGCUUUAGGAACGAUACGGAAACGGAGGCUUAGAAGUGGAAACUUUACAGAUAUGGAAACUGAGACUUAGAAAAAUGACCCGUCAAAGAGGUGGGAUUUCACCAUGUUGCCGAGACUGGUCUCAAACUCCUGAGCUCAAGUGAUCCUCCUACCUCAGCCUUCCGAGUAGUGGUGACUACGGACACAGGCCAUACACUUCACUGGAUGGAAGACAUUCUCCAGUAGUUUUCUGAAAAAGAGCUCAGCUCAUCAUGAAGAAUGUCCAUGUGACUUUGGUUAAUAAAAUGUGAGGAAUCCAAAGUUCAAGAAAAGUUCAAAUAACCCACUCACAGUUGCACAGCUAGAGGGAGAGCUGGGAUAGAUCUAUAAAGCUGCAACUCCUGUGCACACAGAAAUAUGAAGCCACUUUCACCCUCUGGAAUCCUUCAGAGCCCUGAGUAGCCACAUGGAAAGCCAGGCUGUCCUGCUAGAAAGAUCACAUGGAGAGGCAUGAAACUACAUGGAGAGAGAAACCAGCCAAGCCAGCCUUGCAGCCAGAGCCAUUACCGUGAAGGUGCCAGGAAUGUGAAGAAAGUCAUCUUGGACCCUCCAGAUCAGACCAGUUGCAGCUGAAUUCUACUGAACAAUCCCAGGCAGCACCAGGUAGAACAAAAGAAUCACCUAUCUGAGAGCUGCCAAAUUCCUGACUCCCCAAAUAAUGAAAUAUAGCAAAAUGAUUGUUUUAAGCCACUAAAUUUGGUAGUCAUUUGUUAUGUGGCAGUAGCUAACCCUGAAGAAAGUAUCUGCACUUGAACUUCCCUUUGUACAGUACCCAGGCAACCCUACAGACUUGAAAUGACUUGGAACCCUGAACACUUUAUUAGACUGAGGUUUGGCAUAUCUUGGAACUUGUUGCCUGCUUACCAUUUCAGGUCUCCAGGUGUGUUUAUGGGAGAUAUUCAAAGGAAUGUACCAGACUCAAUAUUGAAAUUGAUUAGUCUCCUUCAACUGUAAUUUUUUCCCCUUGAUUAUUGUUUUAAAAUUUGGAACAAUAAGAUUGUACAGAGGAGAAAGAGAAAGGAUGGAGUAUGGGAAAGGGAGAAAAUAAAAAGAAAAAGAUGGAGGGGUCUCAGGUUGGUUAGCAUCUACUCAGAAAGGAAGAAAUAAAAUUAACCUCCAAAUGAAGAAA